UGGUGGAGUGAUUUGUCUGGUUAAUUCCGUUAACGAACGAGACCUCUUCCUGCUAACUAGUUCAUUUUACAAUUCCGUUGUAGAAUGGUGGAACUACUUAGAGGGACUUUUAGCGAUUAGCUAAAGGAAGUUGGAGGCAAUAACA
Molecule: ribosomal RNA, 145 nt
Filed under: uncultured eukaryote
Lineage: Eukaryota
Description: partial 18S ribosomal RNA
Rfam family: Eukaryotic small subunit ribosomal RNA
Source: RNAcentral